Molecule: ribosomal RNA, 540 nt
Filed under: Acinetobacter sp.
Lineage: Bacteria; Pseudomonadati; Pseudomonadota; Gammaproteobacteria; Moraxellales; Moraxellaceae
Description: bacterial SSU rRNA
Rfam family: Bacterial small subunit ribosomal RNA
Source: RNAcentral
UGUGGUUUWAUUUCGAUGCAACGCGAAGAACCUUACCUGGUCUUGACAUAGUARGAACUUUYCAGAGAUGGAUUGGUGGCCUUCGGGMACCUUACAUACAGGUGCUGCAUGGGCUUGUCGUCAGCUCGUGUCGUGAGAUGUUGGGUUAAGUCCCGCAACGAGCGCAACCCUUUUCCUUACUUGCCAGCAUUUCGGAUGGGAACUUUAAGGAUACUGCCAGUGACAAACUGGAGGAAGGCGGGGACGACGUCAAGUCAUCAUGGCCCUUACGACCAGGGCUACACACGUGCUACAAUGGUCGGUACAAAGGGUUGCUACCUAGCGAUAGGAUGCUAAUCUCAAAAAGCCGAUCGUAGUCCGGAUUGGAGUCUGCAACUCGACUCCAUGAAGUCGGAAUCGCUAGUAAUCGCGGAUCAGAAUGCCGCGGUGAAUACGUUCCCGGGCCUUGUACACACCGCCCGUCACACCAUGGGAGUUUGUUGCACCAGAAGUAGGUAGUCUAACCGUAAGGAGGACGCUACCACGGUUGCCCGAAGUAGG